UACGUAGGGUCCAAGCGUUGUCCGGAUUUAUUGGGCGUAAAGAGCGUGUAGGCGGCCAAGCAGGUCCGCUGUAAAAACUCGAGGCUCAACCUCGAGACGUCGGUGGAAACCGUUUGGCUAGAGUCCGGAAGAGGAGAGUGGAAUUCCCGGUGUAGCGGUGAAAUGCGCAGAUAUCGGGAAGAACACCCGUGGCGAAGGCGGCUCUCUGGGACGGUACUGACGCUGAGACGCGAAAGCGUGGGGAGCGAACAGG
RNAcentral lists this ribosomal RNA (253 nucleotides) under uncultured bacterium. RNAcentral describes it as "partial 16S ribosomal RNA". It matches the Rfam family "Bacterial small subunit ribosomal RNA", at positions 524 to 776 of the family's 1533-position model. The record is from RNAcentral.